AAUCUAUAGGGGAGAAGACUUAGAAUAACAUAAAUGUAGGGGCAGCACAACCAAGGGGAAAAGGCUAACGAUAGCACUGACUCUAAGCGAAAGACAUGAGGCCUAAGACUGACAAUGAGGUUGUUUUGAGGCCAUCUGAUUUCUGACUAGAAGGUGUGUGCGAUCGCCUCGUCCUGAAACCACUUCAAACAGAAUGGUUUGCAAUUUUUUUUGGUGAUGGCAUGUUCAGAAUCUUGGAUCCCUAAGUUGAAUAUGUUGGAAAUAUUUUAGGAACUCUGGAUAUUGUUGUUUUUGUAUAUAUAAUGACUUAAUAGGUGAAUCAGUAGGUUUAAUAAAAAGUAUAUA
Eptesicus fuscus (big brown bat) is the source of this 345-nucleotide long non-coding RNA. RefSeq lists it as uncharacterized. The transcript is spliced from 3 exons. The record is from RefSeq and is a predicted model, not a curated record. Lineage: Eukaryota; Metazoa; Chordata; Mammalia; Chiroptera; Vespertilionidae.